Molecule: ribosomal RNA, 2901 nt
Filed under: Shigella flexneri
Lineage: Bacteria; Pseudomonadati; Pseudomonadota; Gammaproteobacteria; Enterobacterales; Enterobacteriaceae
Description: bacterial LSU rRNA
Rfam family: Bacterial large subunit ribosomal RNA
Source: RNAcentral
UUAAGCGACUAAGCGUACACGGUGGAUGCCCUGGCAGUCAGAGGCGAUGAAGGACGUGCUAAUCUGCGAUAAGCGUCGGUAAGGUGAUAUGAACCGUUAUAACCGGCGAUUUCCGAAUGGGGAAACCCAGUGUGAUUCGUCACACUAUCAUUAACUGAAUCCAUAGGUUAAUGAGGCGAACCGGGGGAACUGAAACAUCUAAGUACCCCGAGGAAAAGAAAUCAACCGAGAUUCCCCCAGUAGCGGCGAGCGAACGGGGAGCAGCCCAGAGCCUGAAUCAGUGUGUGUGUUAGUGGAAGCGUCUGGAAAGGCGUGCGAUACAGGGUGACAGCCCCGUACACAAAAAUGCACAUACUGUGAGCUCGAUGAGUAGGGCGGGACACGUGGUAUCCUGUCUGAAUAUGGGGGACCAUCCUCCAAGGCUAAAUACUCCUGACUGACCGAUAGUGAACCAGUACCGUGAGGGAAAGGCGAAAAGAACCCCGGCGAGGGGAGUGAAAAAGAACCUGAAACCGUGUACGUACAAGCAGUGGGAGCACGCUUAGGCGUGUGACUGCGUACCUUUUGUAUAAUGGGUCAGCGACUUAUAUUCUGUAGCAAGGUUAACCGAAUAGGGGAGCCGAAGGGAAACCGAGUCUUAACUGGGCGUUAAGUUGCAGGGUAUAGACCCGAAACCCGGUGAUCUAGCCAUGGGCAGGUUGAAGGUUGGGUAACACUAACUGGAGGACCGAACCGACUAAUGUUGAAAAAUUAGCGGAUGACUUGUGGCUGGGGGUGAAAGGCCAAUCAAACCGGGAGAUAGCUGGUUCUCCCCGAAAGCUAUUUAGGUAGCGCCUCGUGAAUUCAUCUCCGGGGGUAGAGCACUGUUUCGGCAAGGGGGUCAUCCCGACUUACCAACCCGAUGCAAACUGCGAAUACCGGAGAAUGUUAUCACGGGAGACACACGGCGGGUGCUAACGUCCGUCGUGAAGAGGGAAACAACCCAGACCGCCAGCUAAGGUCCCAAAGUCAUGGUUAAGUGGGAAACGAUGUGGGAAGGCCCAGACAGCCAGGAUGUUGGCUUAGAAGCAGCCAUCAUUUAAAGAAAGCGUAAUAGCUCACUGGUCGAGUCGGCCUGCGCGGAAGAUGUAACGGGGCUAAACCAUGCACCGAAGCUGCGGCAGCGACGCUUAUGCGUUGUUGGGUAGGGGAGCGUUCUGUAAGCCUGUGAAGGUGUGCUGUGAGGUAUGCUGGAGGUAUCAGAAGUGCGAAUGCUGACAUAAGUAACGAUAAAGCGGGUGAAAAGCCCGCUCGCCGGAAGACCAAGGGUUCCUGUCCAACGUUAAUCGGGGCAGGGUGAGUCGACCCCUAAGGCGAGGCCGAAAGGCGUAGUCGAUGGGAAACAGGUUAAUAUUCCUGUACUUGGUGUUACUGCGAAGGGGGGACGGAGAAGGCUAUGUUGGCCGGGCGACGGUUGUCCCGGUUUAAGCGUGUAGGCUGGUUUUCCAGGCAAAUCCGGAAAAUCAAGGCCGAGGCGUGAUGACGAGGCACUACGGUGCUGAAGCAACAAAUGCCCUGCUUCCAGGAAAAGCCUCUAAGCAUCAGGUAACAUCAAAUCGUACCCCAAACCGACACAGGUGGUCAGGUAGAGAAUACCAAGGCGCUUGAGAGAACUCGGGUGAAGGAACUAGGCAAAAUGGUGCCGUAACUUCGGGAGAAGGCACGCUGAUACGUAGGUGAAGCGACUUGCUCGUGGAGCUGAAAUCAGUCGAAGAUACCAGCUGGCUGCAACUGUUUAUUAAAAACACAGCACUGUGCAAACACGAAAGUGGACGUAUACGGUGUGACGCCUGCCCGGUGCCGGAAGGUUAAUUGAUGGGGUUAGCGCAAGCGAAGCUCUUGAUCGAAGCCCCGGUAAACGGCGGCCGUAACUAUAACGGUCCUAAGGUAGCGAAAUUCCUUGUCGGGUAAGUUCCGACCUGCACGAAUGGCGUAAUGAUGGCCAGGCUGUCUCCACCCGAGACUCAGUGAAAUUGAACUCGCUGUGAAGAUGCAGUGUACCCGCGGCAAGACGGAAAGACCCCGUGAACCUUUACUAUAGCUUGACACUGAACAUUGAGCCUUGAUGUGUAGGAUAGGUGGGAGGCUUUGAAGUGUGGACGCCAGUCUGCAUGGAGCCGACCUUGAAAUACCACCCUUUAAUGUUUGAUGUUCUAACGUGGACCCGUGAUCCGGGUUGCGGACAGUGUCUGGUGGGUAGUUUGACUGGGGCGGUCUCCUCCUAAAGAGUAACGGAGGAGCACGAAGGUUGGCUAAUCCUGGUCGGACAUCAGGAGGUUAGUGCAAUGGCAUAAGCCAGCUUGACUGCGAGCGUGACGGCGCGAGCAGGUGCGAAAGCAGGUCAUAGUGAUCCGGUGGUUCUGAAUGGAAGGGCCAUCGCUCAACGGAUAAAAGGUACUCCGGGGAUAACAGGCUGAUACCGCCCAAGAGUUCAUAUCGACGGCGGUGUUUGGCACCUCGAUGUCGGCUCAUCACAUCCUGGGGCUGAAGUAGGUCCCAAGGGUAUGGCUGUUCGCCAUUUAAAGUGGUACGCGAGCUGGGUUUAGAACGUCGUGAGACAGUUCGGUCCCUAUCUGCCGUGGGCGCUGGAGAACUGAGGGGGGCUGCUCCUAGUACGAGAGGACCGGAGUGGACGCAUCACUGGUGUUCGGGUUGUCAUGCCAAUGGCACUGCCCGGUAGCUAAAUGCGGAAGAGAUAAGUGCUGAAAGCAUCUAAGCACGAAACUUGCCCCGAGAUGAGUUCUCCCUGACCCUUUAAGGGUCCUGAAGGAACGUUGAAGACGACGACGUUGAUAGGCCGGGUGUGUAAGCGCAGCGAUGCGUUGAGCUAACCGGUACUAAUGAACCGUGAGGCUUAACCUU